Molecule: ribosomal RNA, 433 nt
Filed under: uncultured bacterium
Lineage: Bacteria
Description: partial 16S ribosomal RNA
Rfam family: Bacterial small subunit ribosomal RNA
Source: RNAcentral
AGCGAACGCUGGCGGCAGGCCUAACACAUGCAAGUCGAACGAACCUUUCGGGGUUAGUGGCGGACGGGUGAGUAACACGUGGGAACGUGCCUUUAGGUUCGGAAUAACUCAGGGAAACUUGUGCUAAUACCGAAUGUGCCCUUCGGGGGAAAGAUUUAUCGCCUUUAGAGCGGCCCGCGUCUGAUUAGCUAGUUGGUUGAGGUAAUGGCUCACCAAGGCGACGAUCAGUAGCUGGUCUGAGAGGAUGAUCAGCCACAUUGGGACUGAGACACGGCCCAAACUCCUACGGUAGGCAGCAGUGGGGAAUCUUGCGCAAUGGGCGAAAGCCUGACGCAGCCAUGCCGCGUGAAUGAUGAAGGUCUUAGGAUUGUAAAAUUCUUUCACCGGGGACGAUAAUGACGGUACCCGGAGAAGAAGCCCCGGCUAACUUCGU